This is a long non-coding RNA of Cyprinus carpio carpio, 2822 nucleotides long. The record is from Ensembl. Lineage: Eukaryota; Metazoa; Chordata; Actinopteri; Cypriniformes; Cyprinidae.
CUUUAACUGAGCUGUUUUAUUCAUGUCUAUUUUAUUGUACUCUUCUACAUCCAUACAUUAUUUCUUUCCUAGCACACCUGACCUUUCUAUUUUACUUUAUUUUGUUAUACUGCAUCUUAUUCGCAAACAGAGGGCACAAAGCCAGAGGAGGAAGCCACUGUAAGUGUGUGAAUGCAUUAAUAUGUUGUCCUGUUUUUGUAAUGAUAUGUGUAUUGUGUCAUUUUCCAUCUUGUAAGGUGGACCCAAAGACAAAUUUCCAAGUUAGUGGAGAAUUUUUCCAAACAACUGCUUCUAGAUAUUGUUUUACUGCACAUGGCUAUAUUAAAGUAAUAACACUAAAUGAGCAGUACUGAGAUGAGCCCCUGUAGGAGAGACUCUUUCUCCUAACAUCGUUUAGAGGAACUCCUAUCUGUGAGGGUGGAAACAUAAGCACUAUUCAUAGCUACAUCUUCCUCUCAGGGUGGACAUUGAAAGUUUCUCUAUGACAAUUACAUGCCAUUAGAUUCUUUGUUGUUGUCUAAGUGCUACAUAUGCAAAAUAAAGGACAGUAACAUGGAGUGAAAGUAUCAACACUGAACAUUCAGAUAAUUCAAAGUAUUACUGUGUAUGUGUGUACUUCUGUUCAAGUCUCCAUAUAGCCUACGGGCACAACUAAUGUGCAAGUCUACAUUACAAAUACGGAAGUCUAUAAUAUCUGGUGAAAGCUGUCUGUUAGCAUUCCCAUGCUGAAGUAUAUGGCCUGCACAGUCCUAAGAAUAAAGUUUCUUUAAAAAAAUUAAAAUAAAAACACCUUUCUUGUGUCUCUGAUGAGAAAAUGGGGCUGUGACUUUUACGGAAAGGCUUGACUAGAUCAUAUUGUUCAAUCAUCUACGUCACGGUUCUUUUCAAAGCUGCCAAUUUGCAACUUCAGCUUUGCAAAGACAUGUCACUAUCCAUGAAAGAAUGACUCGGUAAAGACGAGAGGAUUUAAAAGGAAAAAUCAGGACCAUAAACAACAUUUUACCUAUUAAAGCAAUUAUGGUCAUAAAACACUCACCAAAAAAAAAAAAAAAAAAAACCUGAAAGUUUUAACAAAAAUAAGAUUACAAAUAAGUAAUCAAGGAACAGUUUAGCAAAUGGAAAUUUUUCUAAUUAAACAAGAAAACUUUAGCAAAGUUUUAGAGCAUAAAACCAGGCUGCUACAGUGAUGUACAGUGCAACUGUAUAUAUUUUUAUUCAGUUCAAUACAUAAGUGAAUUUCAGUAACAUAACCCAACUUAUCUAGUUGAAAGAUAUCUAGCAGAUAUUUUUUAGACACCCUUUACCUUAAAGGUAAAAAAAAAAAAAACUAAAAAAAAACAAAAACAAAGUGCAAGUUUUGUUGCCUAAUGCCACAGUUUCUCAUGAUAAACACAGCAUGUUACACAAAUGUUAACAUUCUGAGUUGUACUGUUAUCUUCAUAUAAACGGCAUAUAAAAAGGAACAAACAUUACAAAAACAAUUGGACCACUGACAGAGGGAUUUCAAUCUUUUAAGGCAGUCCAGCAAAUUCAUGUAGCAUGUUUGUAGUAGGCUAUUUUUACACUUUCAAUCUCUCCUGAAGAAUUUUUUCUCUUUAUAGUAUAAAGUCAGACAAGUUCUUUGCAGAAACCAUAACAACAAAGCAAAAAACGUAACGAGUGUGAAAAGUUGGCACCUCACAUGGCUGUGGAACGACUAGCCAUUAUUGAUGUUCAUGUCUCAUAUUUCACAUAAAACACAGAUCUCAGUAGUGAAAAGGAGAGAAUUCCACAGUAGGCUUUAGUAGGUCAGUAACCAUAAUACACCGAGGCUAUUGUUUCUCCUAGCGCCAGUAAAGACUCGCUCCCGACGGCAGUGCAGAAGAUCAUGUCGAUCCGUCGCGCUUGCUGUUGCUGGCAGCAGCAGUCUGUGAUGGAGACACGGUCGGGUGCUUCUCCGUCCAGCUGUCGUCUGCCCAGUCGGGUCCUUGAAGAUACAUCAGACCCCCGACUGAAUCAACCAGUCCAAAAAGAGCCACCAGAAAAGAAAACGCGGUUCCGAUGAAGUAGAUCUUCAGAAAGCCGAUUCCAGACAUGUUUCACUACAGAUGUCCAGGAUUAUCUAUUAAAAAAUAAAAUAAAAAAUAAGCAAAAACAAAACAACCAAAGCACACAAGAGCCACGCCAUCAAUACCGGAAGUUAAUACAUAUUGGCUUAAAAACACAAUUAUUGCUAUUUCUUAUUUAUUUAAUAAGACACUGAAUAAGGAGAACGAAUACUACCUUAAUGUUACUUUGAGAAGUCAGACAAAAUGCCCCAAGUAUGACCAAAAUAGCCGAGACAAAAAUUUAAAUGCUCGUCUUUCUUACCAGGAGGAUGGUGGUCUUGCUUGCGUGGGAUUUUUUUUACAGCUGUGUCAGUGGAUGUGCGCGUUUUGCCUUCUUUGCCUCCAUGACAUCACAUAAAAUCCCUCCGUGUGAAGUGGGAGUUUCCAGCAUCUGUAGAAAUUCCCGCAAUGUGAAAGAAUGGUUCUUUUAAGGUGAAUCUUCUCGAUGAAUCACUUGAAGCGGUUCCCAAAAGCAGUCCGAACUAUUCCUGGCUCAGCUAGUCGGUCCAAGCUGUUCUCGAAUCAAAAGCUCGUGCUUGCAAUUUUUUUUUUUAGAGCAUGCAUGUUACAAAAGAAAUGUAGCCUACAGGAAAUGUGUUUACGAUUAUUGUAUGACAGUUUUAUUAACACAUAUCCUAAAUUACAUUAUGAUUUUAUGGUUUACUAAAACAUCUAUUUAUGGCUUUAUUGGAACAUUUUAGACUACGCAAGGCAAGACGUACGGACGUUAUUGCG